This 141-nucleotide non-coding RNA is filed under the name Acinetobacter ursingii. Its description in RNAcentral is "Acinetobacter sRNA 28". It matches the Rfam family "Acinetobacter sRNA 28", at positions 27 to 178 of the family's 180-position model. Rfam says of the family: AbsR25 sRNA could play role in the efflux pump regulation and drug resistance. The record is from RNAcentral. Lineage: Bacteria; Pseudomonadati; Pseudomonadota; Gammaproteobacteria; Moraxellales; Moraxellaceae.
AGGAGUAACAACAUGCCAGCUUUACAGGAUAAACAUUACUAAUCAUUGGCACGUUGUCAUCUCACGGACAAGGGUCAAAGAUCACUUGUCCGAAUGCACAAGAUCUAGCAUUCGCUAGGUUUUUUUAUGCCUGUUCGGACA